GAUGAACGCUAGCUACAGGCUUAACACAUGCAAGUCGAGGGGCAGCAUGGUCUUAGCUUGCUAAGGCCGAUGGCGACCGGCGCACGGGUGAGUAACGCGUAUCCAACCUUCCCUAUAGUAGGGGAUAGCCCGUAGAAAUGCGGAUUAAUACCCUAUGUUGUAUUUUGAUGACAUCAGAUGAGGAAUAAAGGUUUACCGCUAUGGGAUGGGGAUGCGUCUGAUUAGGUUGCAGGCGGGGUAACGGCCCACCUGGCCAACGAUCAGUAGGGGUUCUGAGAGGAAGGUCCCCCACACUGGUACUGAGACACGGACCAGACUCC
This 320-nucleotide ribosomal RNA is filed under the name uncultured Prevotella sp. Its description in RNAcentral is "bacterial SSU rRNA". It matches the Rfam family "Bacterial small subunit ribosomal RNA", at positions 28 to 339 of the family's 1533-position model. The record is from RNAcentral. Lineage: Bacteria; Pseudomonadati; Bacteroidota; Bacteroidia; Bacteroidales; Prevotellaceae.